RNAcentral lists this ribosomal RNA (466 nucleotides) under uncultured bacterium. Its description in RNAcentral is "partial 16S ribosomal RNA". It matches the Rfam family "Bacterial small subunit ribosomal RNA", at positions 28 to 507 of the family's 1533-position model. The record is from RNAcentral.
GAUGAACGCUGGCGGCGUGCUUAACACAUGCAAGUCGAACGGAAAGGCCCAAGCUUGCUUGGGUACUCGAGUGGCGAACGGGUGAGUAACACGUGGGUGAUCUGCCCUGCACUUCGGGAUAAGCCUGGGAAACUGGGUCUAAUACCGGAUAGGACCACAUUUUGGAUGGUGUGGUGGAAAGUUUUUCGGUGUGGGAUGAGCUCGCGGCCUAUCAGCUUGUUGGUGGGGUAAUGGCCUACCAAGGCGUCGACGGGUAGCCGGCCUGAGAGGGUGUACGGCCACAUUGGGACUGAGAUACGGCCCAGACUCCUACGGGAGGCAGCAGUGGGGAAUAUUGCACAAUGGGCGCCAGCCUGAUGCAGCGACGCCGCGUGGGGGAUGACGGCCUUCGGGUUGUAAACUCCUUUCGCUAGGGACGAAGCGUUAUGUGACGGUACCUGGAGAAGAAGCACCGGCUAACUACGUG